Molecule: ribosomal RNA, 622 nt
Filed under: Agroathelia rolfsii
Lineage: Eukaryota; Fungi; Basidiomycota; Agaricomycetes; Amylocorticiales; Amylocorticiaceae
Description: eukaryotic LSU rRNA
Rfam family: Eukaryotic large subunit ribosomal RNA
Source: RNAcentral
CCAUUUGACCUCAAAUCAGGUAGGACUACCCGCUGAACUUAAGCAUAUCAAUAAGCGGAGGAAAAGAAACUAACAAGGAUUCCCCUAGUAACUGCGAGUGAAGCGGGAAAAGCUCAAAUUUAAAAUCUGGUAGUCUCUGGCUGCCCGAGUUGUAAUCUGGAGAAGUGUUUUCUGUGCUGGGCCGUGUACAAGUCUCUUGGAAUAGAGCGUCAUAGAGGGUGAGAAUCCCGUCUUUGACACGGACAUCCAGUGCUCUGUGAUGCACUCUCAAAGAGUCGAGUUGUUUGGGAAUGCAGCUCAAAAUGGGUGGUAAAUUCCAUCUAAAGCUAAAUAUUGGCAAGAGACCGAUAGCGAACAAGUACCGUGAGGGAAAGAUGAAAAGAACUUUGGAAAGAGAGUUAAACAGUACGUGAAAUUGUUGAAAGGGAAACGCUUGAAGUCAGUCGCGUCUAGCAAGGAUCAGCCUUUCUCGGAAGGUGUAUUUCUUGCUUGACGGGUCAACAUCAAUUUUGAYUACUGGAAAAAGGCCAGAGGAAGGUGGCACCUUCGGGUGUGUUAUAGCCUUUGGUCAUAUACAGUAGUUGGGAUUGAGGAAUUCAGCAUGCCUUCAUGGCUGGGGUUC